Molecule: long non-coding RNA, 7165 nt
Filed under: Homo sapiens (human)
Lineage: Eukaryota; Metazoa; Chordata; Mammalia; Primates; Hominidae
Description: HSALNT0230291
Source: RNAcentral
CAGCUACUCAGGAGGCUGAGGCAGGAGAAUGGCGUGAACCAGGGAGGCGGAGCUUGCAGUGAUCCGAGAUCACACCACUGCACUCCAGCCAAGACGACAGAGCGAGACUCUGUCUCAAAAAAAAAAAAAAAAAAUUAGCUGUCCAUGGUGGUACAUGCCUGUAGUCCCAGCUAGAAGGCUUAGGUGGAAGGAUCACUUGAGCCCAGUAGGUCAAGGCUUCAGUGAGCCAUGACUGUGCCCCUGCACUCCAGCCUGAGUGACAGAGUGAGACCAUGUCUCAAAAGAAAAAAAAGCACUCACCUGUCACAUAGACAAUGAAAGGGCACUGCAUGCAUGGGGUGAGCCCUGACAGCUAUAGGUCCCAGUGUCCUGCUCGGAGGCAUCCAGCACUCACAGCUGCAGAGGCCCCACAAAGAUGUGAUCCAGAAAACCAGUCCUGUGCCAUUGUUGAACAAGAGAGUGGCUUCAUCAAACCAAGUGCUGAAGAUGACCAACUGCUCUUGUUGGCUGGACUCAGGCCUGCAUUUCUGCAAGUCAGGUUACCGAAAUCUCAAUGUAAGUGUUACGUCAUGACAGAGGCUUCUGUGAGAGCUGAAUUGUGUGCUUUCCAAAAUUCAUAUGUUGACACUGUCACCCCAGCACCAAAGAAUGUGACUACAUUGGGAGAUAGCUUCAUCAAAGAGGUAAUUACAUUAAAAUGAGGUCUUUGGGGGUGGAGUUGGGGUGGUGGGGAUAUGGUCACAUUAUACAAAAUUUCAGUUAGACAAGAGGAAUAAAUACAACAGGUUUAUUGCAUUUGGUGACUACAUUUAAUGUACUCUGUUCUUGAACAUUGAUAAGACAGUAGAUUUUGAGUGUUCUCACAGCAAAAAAAUGAUAGGUAUGUGAGGUAAUGCAUAUGCCAAUUAGCUUGGGUUAACCAUUCCACAGUGUGUGCAUGUUUCAAAACGGUACCAUAAAUGUAGACAAUUUUUAUCAGUUACAAUAAAAAAGUUUUAAAAUGAAGGCCUUAGGGUGGGCCCAAAUCCAAUGUAACUGAUGUCUCCAUGAAAGAGGAUAUAAGGAUACAAAUGUGUACAUACAGAGAAAUGGCCACAUGAAAACAGAAAGAGAAGGUGGCCACUUACAAGCCCAGGAGAGAUGUCUCGGGGAAACCCUCCCUGCUCAUGUUUUGACCUUUGACAUCAUUCUCCAGAUAAAGUCCUUCAUCCUCCUUCAUCAGAUGGUAGCUUCUGAUCCUGAAUACUCUCCAAAUGCUGGAAGGUAUGAAUGUGAGAGGACAGCACAGACCUCAGGGUGAAAAGUUUAAAGAGAAUAACAUCUUCCCAUUGCCCCGUCCUCUCCCCAACACACACCUGUGCCAGCCUUUAUUGGUCUUUUGUAUUCCCUUGUCCUGGGGAUAGUGUAACUUGCUAAUCUGUGUUUAUGUAGAGGAUAACAUAAAACAAAGGUAAACAAUAAAAUAAAACAAAGAGCAAAACUCAACAAAUACUGUUUGGGCAGGGUGACAGUAAAAGCAGGCAGAUCACAUAAAAUGGGGGUGGAGCUCUUGGAGCUCAAUCAAUGUCCUGUUGUGUUUCUACAUCAGAAUCUGUAGUAGCAAUUUUCAGGUUUGAUGCUUUUGUCCUUGCCUGCCCCGUAAGUGCCAGAGGGGAUUAUUCUAAAUUGGGUGAGGAACAGGUAGAAAUGUGUAAGUGAGACAAUUUUCCCUGCCAUUUGCCACAGUAGCAGGGCAGAAUUUAUCAUGAGUGCCUUUACUCUCUGAUGUCCAAAAAGUUCAACUCUGUUGGUGAGGUUCUGUUGGCUGCCAAUUUAGAAGCAUCUGCCUUCAUGCUCCUGUCUAGAAUGAUAACAUCUCUCUGCCAGUAGCUGAUAAAAUCCCCAACAUCCCCUAGUCAUGUUUUCCAGUUAAAAUUCACUGGAAUUAUGUGGGCAGAUUUACAUAGCUCAGUUCUUCCAGCAGCCAAGGAAUCCUUGAUAUUUUUUUCACUUGAAGCCUCUGAGAGAGGGAGUCAGCCUCCCCUUAGAGGUGGCCCUUAGAGUUUUUGAUACAUAAUCUCCCUGACUCUACUACUUACACUGAUUUGAAAGUCAGUGACAAGCUUGCUCCAAAGCUCCUGUCAAAUUGAAUCCUGACACAUGAAGGGCUUGGUGCUUCCCAGCUUGAUAUUCCAAUUUUGAAGUGAGUAAAUUUGAGUUCUAUGAGACAUCAGAAGGUCACUUAGAAUAUAACAUAUUCUAAAAGAAAAUUGGAAUGCCACAGGAACAUUAGCUGUAAAAGAAAAAUUAUGUUCUUUGGUGAAAAUUUUAUGCCCCUUGAUAUGGUUUGGCUGUGUCCCCACCCAAAUCUCAUCUGGAAUUUUAGCUCCCAUAAUUCCCAAGUGUUGUAGGAGGGACCUGGUAGGAGACAAUUGAAUCAUGCAGGCAAUUUUUUCCAUACUGUCCUUGUGGUAAUGAAUAAGUCUCAAGAGAUCUGAUGGUUUUAUAAGGAGAAACCCCUUUCACUUUACUUUCAUUCUCUCUUCUCUUGUCUGCUGCCAUGUGAGACAUGCCUUUCACCUUUUGCCACUAUUGUGAGGCCUCCCUAGCCGUGUGGAACUGUGAGUCCAUUCAACCUCUUUCUUUUGUAAAUUGCCUAGUCCUAGGUAUGUCUUUUUCAGCAGGGUGAAAACAAACUAAUACACCACCCUCCACUGUUUGAAGCAAAACUGCUGGCUCUAUGGGGUCUUCAAUUCACUAAAUAUUUCCUAAAUGCCUGGUUUAUUUCACUGACAAGUCAAGGAAGUUGCCACCUUUUGGUGCUCACUGGGCUGCUGUGGAUGUCUAACCUCAUUGCCAGCCACACAGAACCUGAAGCAGGGAUCGUUGCACCACUUAAUGUGAGACGCAGAGAAGAGUUGGGGAAUCCUGUUGGACCAGGAGGAGGAAUAAUAUUAGUUGGACCAAAUGGUAGAACAGGACCUGUGUGCUCAACCUUUCUUGGGAAUUCCAUUCCUCUUUGAGGCAGGCAUGGAAUCCCAGUGAACAUCCUGCACUCUCAGUGUCCAGCUGUCUGAGGCAACAGUUGUUUCUGAUGAUAGAGAACAAUUGCUUUUUUUUCUGAGAAGACUUCCAUGGCUGAGGUAAGCUGGAUUCUAUAGAACAUUGAUUCCAUUUUCUCCUUCCUCUGUGAACUGCGGUUGCUUCUUUGAUUUUUCAUCUAGAGAUAAAAUUACAUUUGCCAAUAUUUGUGUAAAAUGGAGAUAUAAGUCUGGCAAGUAGAUCCUUAGAUGCAGCCCUCAGCAGAAAUUUUUGCCUGUUUCUAUUCUCAGUUUUAUUAAAUUAUUGGCACAGAAAGUUGCCCUGACAUGUUGUCCCUCAGGGGUAAUUAGAAUAUUGUACUUCUAGAGAAGCUGAUGGGACAGGCCAGGGCUUAGAGUGAGGAUCGAAGCUUCUGUCCAAAUCUCCCAGUCUAUCUGUGUGUGGUAGGUGGACUCAGGAAAGACCCUAAAACUCUGGAAACGAUCAUUAAGAGAAAACAAAAUCCCCAUAAAUUAGAGUACUAGGGCACAUGUUCAUUAGUCGCCUUCAGAGUCAGAUGCUCAGGGCUGAGCUUGUGUGGGAGGGUGCAUAGCAGUGCAUGCCUGUGAAAGCCUCUGGUCUUGUGUGAGUGAUGAGGCUCUGGAUCAAUGAGAAGUCCUGUAUCUGACAGAACAUGGUGUUUCUGUGAGUGUGAGAUUCAGCGCCCUUCCUCAGCAGAGCACCACUGAGUGAAUAAUUGUUUUAGAAUCAAGAAUAUGGAGGCCAAUUUUAUUUUGAAUUUCUCAAAGACAGAUUUUUUCCACAUUGAAAUUGAGUAAGAGUGUCAGAAACUUCAGCAAAAAUGUCACAGGAGGAAACUCUGGGGUCUUAUGAACCCCAGAAACCACAAAAGUCCUGAUAUAACCUGUGAGAAUUUCCCUUGUAAAAACUUGAUUUUUUCACAGUACAGAUUUAUCUGUCAUUUGACAUUUAUUUUAUUUCAGGUUAUAAUUAGUACUUUUUUUUUUACCUUUAUGAGAGAAACAUCAGAUUCCUAAACCCAAAGCCUUAAUGAUGCCUACCCAACUGUAGUUUUUAUUUCCAACUGACUUUCUGCUAUGGUCUGAAUUUAUGUCUCCUUCUAAAAUCUCAUUUGAAAAAUUUAAUCCCUAAAGUGAUAGUUUUAAAACAUGGAACCUUUAGGGAAGUGACUAACUCAGGAGGGAUUCAUCCUCAUAAAUGUAAUUAAUACCCUGUAACAGAGGUUGAAGGGAGCACCCUUGUCCCUUCUGUCAUGGAGGAUACAGCAAGAAGGCACCACGUGUGAGAAACAGGACCCUCACCAGACACUGAAUUUGCUGGUGCUUUUAUCUUGAGUUUUCCAGCCUCCAGAACUGUGGCCAAUACAUUUCUGUUAUUUAUACAUGACCCAGUCUAAUGUAUUUUGUUUCAGCAGCCUGAACAAAGACACUUUCUCAUGCAUUGUGGUUUACUUUGAAUUUAUGCUUCCACUGAGCUAUCCAUAUAUUCAUAAAUAAACAUGUCUCAUAGGGUUGGAUAACCACUCUGGUUAUGUUUUCAGAGUUUUCUCAGCUGUUCUUAUUUAUGUUUUCAUCUAUAGGAACUUUGCAAUAAAAUGCCUGCUUCCAAUACCAGAUGGCAUCACUAUUAGGACAAAAUUAAAUUUAUGAAUUACUUCUAAUAAAAUAAUGAUUGAGCAAUAUUGCAUUUUUCUACCUUAGAACAUGAUGUGAUUUUCCAUUCUUUUAUGCUGAUUUUCCUAUAUUUCAAGGACUUUUUAUCAUACUUCUCAUAUGCUUUACAAAUUUUUGUUAGAUUUAUGUAUGGCUAGUUUAUUUUAUUUUGUCCUGUUAAAAAGUAAACUGUAGCACAACAGAAAUUUUAUAAGUUUUCUUGGUUGGGAAUGGUGGCUCAUAUCUGUGAUUCCAGCACUUUGAGAGGCCAAGGUGAGAGGAUUACUUGAGGCCAGGAGUUUGAGGCCAUCCUGGAAAACAUAGUAAGACCCUGUCUCUACAAAAUAUAAGAAGAAAUUAGCCAGGUGUGGUGGUGCAUACCUGUAUUUGCAGCUACUCAUGGGGCUAAGGUGGGAGGAUGGCUUGAACUCAGGAUGUAAAACUGCAGAGAGCUUCAAUUCUCCAUGCCCUCCAGCAUGGGCAACAGAGCAGGAACCUGUUUCAAAAAACAUUUUCUUGAGUAAAAAGCAACUAAUGAAUUGUGGAACAUGAGACCACAAGAGGUUUAGCAUUUAAAUGGCAAAGUGUCAGAGGUAAGAGGGUAUUGAAAUAAUGCAGGAACAAAAUAUUAAAAUUAUUUGAUUGGUUGCAGUUAUAAAAUUGUCUUUUUUGGUUUACCUUAUAGACCUAUAUUACUAUACACGUCUUGGGUACUUCUGAUAACUAAAGCUUAAGUUCUGUUGUUGUUGUUUUUUAAUACAAGCAUUCACAAAAAAUACCUCACAUUAUGUUUUGCUUGUUUGCAAAUCAACAAGAUGAGGUCACUGAGGAGGUCUGAUUCUGUCUCCUCAGGAAUGUUUUGGGCUUUGUCCCCCUUUUAAUUUACUUUAUAAAUCACGUUGUAAUUUUUAUCUCCCACCCAUACUAUAACUUGUUAAUUACUUUUAUACCUAUGUAAAUAUCAUUUAUGUAUGAUUUCUGAGUAUAUCACUAGUGAAUAGUUUGUUACAUAGGCAUACCAUGUCUUAUUGCACUUUAUUGUGCUUCAUAGAUAUUGAAUUUCUUACAAAUUGAAGGUUUUUUGCAACCCUACAUUGAGCGACUCUAUUAACACUAUUUUUCCAACAUCAUGUGACCUUUGUGUGUGUGUAUAUCUGUGUCAGCAUUUUUAACAAUAAAGUACAUUUUUUAUCAAGGUAUAUACAUUGUUAUUAUAAACAUAGGCUGUUUCAGUCUUAUUCUACAGUAUAGUGUAAACAUCACUCUUAUAUGCAAUGGGAAACAAGAAAAGCUGUGUGACUCACAUUAUUGUGAUAUUUGUUUAAUCGCCCUGCUCUAGAGCAAAAGCCAGAUAUCUCCAAGAUAUAUCUGUAUAUUUUCAUUGAAUCGGCUUUAUUUACUGUAAUGAUAAAUCACUAUUCUUUGACUGAAAACAAGAGCUGCGGAGUGUGGAGAGGUUGGGGUAAAAAUAUAGAAGAAGUGAAGAUAAAAAGUCCUCUAAGUCACACAUGGAGUAAUACAAAUUCAGUAUGGAUUAAAUAUAAAAUUAUUUAAAAUUGAAGAGUCUCAGAAACAUUAAUGUUUAUAUCAUUAUAUAUAUAAAUUAUGAGGCAAAGAGUAAAACAAAAAUACAUUUAGAUGAAAGAUUUCAUAAUCUCACUGUAAAAUGCAAGAAGAAAAACUAUAAAAUAUAGCAAUAUGUAAAAUAAAUGAUAAUAUAUAUUACAUUUAAUAUUCUACAAUACAGUAUGACCAACAGAAAUGUAUAAAAUAGAAGGAAGUCUAAAUUUAGAAAAUUUAAAAUGAGGCAAAUAUGAGUCAGGUGAAGAAUAAAUAAAUAUGAUGAAUUACAUUUAACAUAUCUUGACUUCACUUUUAUGUAAAAAUACAUAUUAAUAGUAAACACUUGUGUAGUGAUUUCACCAUAAUUUUAUUGCACUGUAGAAACAUAUUGACAUUUUUCCGUAGGGAGUACUAUUAAAGGUUUGUGGAUAUUAGUCCUCCAUGGGUUCAGCGUGGGGGGAAGGAGAGGCUACAACCUCUUCUAAAUUAAAAGAGAAGCAUAUAAUUUUAUAUUUAUUUUGCUACAAUUUAAAAUACACAAAGGCAUAUGAAUGAUUACCUUCUAACAUUUGUUUGAUUAUAUAGAAAUGCAUGACAGUUAUCAGACAUCUAAAAUACAUCAAAUAUCUAACAAGACAUAUAAAAUUUGUUUAGAAUCUUAGCCCUCUACAAAAUGCAGGGUUCACCAUUUUGAGUAUAUUGUUCAAGUUUCCUUCCUAUGACUGCUUCAGGUUCUGUUAUUUAUUAACACAGUACAUCUAAAAUUGUCACUGCUGGUCAUCUGGAAGAACCUGAGAAGUAGCAGGUUCUUGGUGUCAUUCCAAGAGCUGCAUUCGCUGCUAAAUAUGGUGAGAGUGCAGCCAGCUCAAGCCUCAUCUGAUCUACUAACAGGCUCAGUUAACUCCUGC